GGGUCGUUAGCUCAGUUGGUAGAGCAGUUUGACUUUUAAUCAAUUGGUCGCAGGUUCGAAUCCUGCACGACCCA
This 74-nucleotide transfer RNA is filed under the name Klebsiella pneumoniae IS43. RNAcentral describes it as "tRNA-Lys-TTT". It matches the Rfam family "tRNA". Rfam says of the family: Transfer RNA (tRNA) molecules are approximately 80 nucleotides in length. The record is from RNAcentral. Lineage: Bacteria; Pseudomonadati; Pseudomonadota; Gammaproteobacteria; Enterobacterales; Enterobacteriaceae.